AAAGAAGUGAUUCAAACUGAUUUACGCAAAAAAAAAACAAAAACAAACAACCAUACAAAAUUAUUUAUAACAUCUCACAACAAAAUAGGAAGUGCAAAUAAGAGAAACAUACCCACCAAAUAAAAUAAGCCCACUAACUAAUUAUCCCUAUCCUAAAUUUCAAUUAAUAAAUAUAGAAAGAAAAAAAACAUUUGACUUUUCCAACCCAAUUAAAAUAUCAAAUAAAAAGGAAAAUACAAUUGGGAGCAAAAAACGCAGAGUAACGGUUUUCACAAAACCAAUUUUUGUCUCUUCUCCAAUCUCAAUCUCACGACCAAGUUAAC
This 323-nucleotide long non-coding RNA is filed under the name Lathyrus oleraceus (garden pea). RNAcentral's name for it is "Pisum sativum (pea) long non-coding RNA (PSAT_LNC041782)". Lineage: Eukaryota; Viridiplantae; Streptophyta; Magnoliopsida; Fabales; Fabaceae. The record is from RNAcentral.